RNAcentral lists this ribosomal RNA (467 nucleotides) under uncultured bacterium. Its description in RNAcentral is "partial 16S ribosomal RNA". It matches the Rfam family "Bacterial small subunit ribosomal RNA", at positions 28 to 507 of the family's 1533-position model. The record is from RNAcentral.
GACGAACGCUGGCGGCGUGCUUAACACAUGCAAGUCGAACGGAAAGGCCCUGCUUUUGUGGGGUGCUCGAGUGGCGAACGGGUGAGUAACACGUGAGUAACCUGCCCUUGACUUUGGGAUAACUUCAGGAAACUGGGCUAAUACCGGAUAGGAGCUCCUGCUGCAUGGUGGGGGUUGGAAAGUUUCGGCGGUUGGGGAUGGACUCGCGGCUUAUCAGCCUGUUGGUGGGGUAGUGGCUUACCAAGGCUUUGACGGGUAGCCGGCCUGAGAGGGUGACCGGCGACAUUGGGACUGAGAUACGGCCCAGACGCCUACGGGAGGCAGCAGUGGGGAAUAUUGCACAAUGGGCGGAAGCCUGAUGCAGCAACGCCGCGUGCGGGAUGACGGCCUUCGGGUUGUAAACCGCUUUCGCCUGUGACGAAGCGUGAGUGACGGUAAUGGGUAAAGAAGCACCGGCUAACUACGUG